CUCACACGACCGUACCGCAAACCGACACUGGUGCGCGAGAUGAGUAUUCUAAGGCGCUUGAGAGAACUCAGGAGAAGGAACUCGGCAAAUUGACACCGUAACUUCGGAAGAAGGUGUGCCUUUAGUAGGUGAAGGGAUUUACUCCUGGAGCCCAAUGAUGUUGCAAAAAAUCGGUGGCUGCGACUGUUUAUUAAAAAUACAGCAUUCUGCAAACACGAAAGUGGACGUAUAGGGUGUGACGCCUGCCCGGUGCUGGAAGAUUAAAUGAUGGGGUGCAAGCUCUUGAUUGAAGUCCCAGUAAACGGCGGCCGUAACAAUAACGGUCCUAAGGUAGCGAAAUUCCUUGUCGGGUAAGUUCCGACCUGCACGAAUGGCGUAACGAUGGCCACACUGUCUCCUCCUGAGACUCAGCGAAGUUGAAAUGUUUGUGAUGAUGCAAUCUCCCCGCGGAAAGACGGAAAGACCCCAUGAACCUUUACUGUAGCUUUGUAUUGGACUUUGAACAGAUCUGUGUAGGAUAGGUGGGAGGCUUUGAAGCAGGGUCGCUAGAUCUUGUGGAGCCAACGUUGAAAUACCACCCUGGUGUGUUUGAGGUUCUAACCUAGGCCCGUAAUCCGGGUUGGGGACAGUGCAUGGUAGGCAGUUUGACUGGGGCGGUCUCCUCCCAAAGUGUAACGGAGGAGUUCGAAGGUACGCUAGUUACGGUCGGACAUCGUGACGAUAGUGCAAUGGCAUAAGCGUGCUUAACUGCGAGACUGACAAGUCGAGCAGAUGCGAAAGCAGGACAUAGUGAUCCGGUGGUUCUGUAUGGAAGGGCCAUCGCUCAACGGAUAAAAGGUACUCUGGGGAUAACAGGCUGAUACCGCCCAAGAGUUCAUAUCGACGGCGGUGUUUGGCACCUCGAUGUCGGCUCAUCUCAUCCUGGGGCUGUAGCCGGUCCCAAGGGUAUGGCUGUUCGCCAUUUAAAGAGGUACGUGAGCUGGGUUUAAAACGUCGUGAGACAGUUUGGUCCCUAUCUUCCGUGGGCGCUGCAGAUUUGAGGAAGCCUGCUCCUAGUACGAGAGGACCGGAGUGGACGCACCUCUGGUGUAUCGGUUGUCACGCCAGUGGCAUUGCCGAGUAGCUAUGUGCGGAAGAGAUAACCGCUGAAAGCAUCUAAGCGGGAAACUCGUUUCAAGAUGAGAUCUGCCGGGGCCUUGAGCCCCCUGAAGAGUCGUUCAAGACCAGGACGUUGAUAGGUCGGGUGUGGAAGCGCAGUAAUGCGUUAAGCUAACCGAUACUAAUUGCUCGUGCGGCUUGACCCC
RNAcentral lists this ribosomal RNA (1304 nucleotides) under metagenome. Its description in RNAcentral is "bacterial LSU rRNA". It matches the Rfam family "Bacterial large subunit ribosomal RNA", at positions 1633 to 2925 of the family's 2925-position model. The record is from RNAcentral.